AUGGACAUCUGGCAUCAUAUACUGUCCCUUCUGCCACUGGCAGAUGCUGCGCGAGCUGGCUGUGUGUCUCAAACAUUUCGAAGCUCCUGGAGAUCCCAUCCUAACCUCACCUUAAGUAUGGAAACGCUGCGCCUCGAUGGAGAUACAUGCAGAGAAGAUAAACUGGCACGGGUUUUCACCAAGAGAGUCAACCGCAUUAUGAGAAAACACUCAGGCGGCGUGAAGACAUUCAACCUUAGUUAUAAUUACCUUCGUUCUUUUCUGGACACCAGUUAUCUCAACAGGUGGCUUGAGAUUGCUGUUACUACGGGGAUUGAAGAGGUCAAACUUUCAAUGCCUCUAGGACGCACCGCGGUUCGUUACAAGUUCCCAUGCCCGGUUUUAUCCAACGGGAGUGGAAACUCGAUUCGACAUCUUCACCUCAGCCGUUGCGCCUUCCAUCCCACGGUCGGGCUUCGUUGCUUGACAAGGCUGUUUCUGUUGGAGGUGCACAUCACGAGAGAUGAGUUAGGGCACCUUCUGUCCAAUUCUCUUGCUAUGGAAGAGUUGUGUCUCAAUAGUUGUCAUAAGAUAAUUCGCCUCAAGAUAUCUUGCCUGCUACAUCGGUUCAGCUGCCUGUCAGUGUUUCAUUGCAAGUCUCUGGAAGUGAUAGAGAAUAGAGCUCCAAAUCUUUGCUUUGUUCGCAUUGAUGGUGCUGUAGAGAAACUUCCGGUUGGAGAUUUAUUGCAAAUGAAGAGACUACACAUGUUGGAUUACUACGAAUCUGACCUUGUUCAUGAUGCUCGUUCCAAGCUUCCAUUCAUUAUGCCAAAUCUUGAAACCCUCAACCUAUCUUCGGCUGGAGAGAUGUUUAAUACACCAAUCUUAACUGUCAGAUUCCUCUUCCUGAAGAACCUGCUGAUUGAUCUUAAUGCAGAUAGGGGGGCUUUUCCCCAUCCUAUGAUUAUUUUUCUCUAG
This 957-nucleotide ribosomal RNA is filed under the name Triticum aestivum (bread wheat). Its description in RNAcentral is "partial small subunit ribosomal RNA". Lineage: Eukaryota; Viridiplantae; Streptophyta; Magnoliopsida; Poales; Poaceae. The record is from RNAcentral.